Molecule: ribosomal RNA, 471 nt
Filed under: Triticum aestivum (bread wheat)
Lineage: Eukaryota; Viridiplantae; Streptophyta; Magnoliopsida; Poales; Poaceae
Description: partial small subunit ribosomal RNA
Source: RNAcentral
AUGGAUGAGCAAGAUGAUAAAAGUACAAAGGCUGAGCUGAAACUAUGUGGUGACAUAGCUGUUAAGAGGAAGAAUUACCGUGGCGCGUCAGCAUUCUACAGCGAGGCAAUUGAGCUGGACCCUAAUGAUGCGACGCUGUACGCAAACAGGAGCCUUUGCUACCUGCAAAUGACUGAAGCAGAUAAGGCUUUGCAUGAUGCUAACACCUGCAUAAAACUGCGUCCUGAAUGGUUAAAAGGUUACUACAGGAAAGGAUCUGCUCUUAUGUCGCUCAAGGAGUACAAAGAAGCAUGUGAUGCGUUCGAAGCCGGACUGAAACUGGACCCUGGAAACACCGAGUUGGAGAAAGUAUUCCAGGAGGCAGUUGAGGCGAUGAAAAAGGAUGACUUGGCCAGAAAAAGAGAAAAUGCUUCAAGCCAUCCAGCUAGAGAAAAACAGGCACGCAAGGGGCGCGGCCGCAACACCCACUGA